CGGAUGAUGAGGGCAGGCAUCAGAUCGUGAGGGGACAGCGCAGAGGUGAGAACUACGUGUCAUCGAGAGCGCGAGUGUGUGGUGUAAAGGUUUCGCUUUAGGGUGGAGUUUCUUGUGGACGUUUUUUUAAAAAAAACGGUUUGGCCCGAGGGAUGGUAGGAGUACAUGGUGCUGACUUUGACAGGCUGUCACUUUUCCCCAAUUGCUACUCUGACCCCGAGGCAGGGUGGAGAUCACAGGCAAUCACUAUCUGAGCAAUAAAACAUCUUUCUCGGCCGAGUACUUGCUGUUGGCGAUUAGAAAGGUGGUGCCACACGGGGUUUGGAAAACACUUUUUUCUUGGAACAGUUUCUGAAACAGCCUCGUUUUCCCCGUUUGCUGUGUGGCAUACAGAGCAAACCAUUUGGAAAACCGCAUGGAAACUGUUUUUCCUCCUGUUUGCUGUUUUAAAACUUGCUCUAUUUUGGAAAGCGGUUUUUCAAAAUGGCCACCAAAGCAACAGGCCCAGUUGAAAAUUUAAACGAGGAAAAUACCUUCUUUUUAAUUGAACUAUUUCAAAGCCAACAAAAACUGUGGGACUCUUGGAGAGCACAAUAUCACAACAGACAGUUGAAAACCAGUCUUUGGCUUUCAUACAGAGUUCUUUCUCGUCAACGGCAGGGAUCGAGUGCACAGUUGCCCUUAUCCAAGCAAACGUAGACAUGCAGCGUCCGAAACACAUUUUCAAGGGAAAAUAAAUAAAACCAAAGCUGGCACGCGAACUCUAACAUCAAGAGGAGCGCACCAGAGACAGACUCUGUACCGUGUUUCUGAUGACGGAGGAAGCUUCAGAAGCGGACUAUUGAACUUUUGAUCAGACUUUUACGGCGGAUAGGGUAACUACUGUUCUGUGUUUUCAUGUAUAGUUAAGCAUUGUGGUUGUUGAUGAUUGUUUUUUUCUAUUAGAUCCAUUUUUUUGUUGGGUUUGUUCUAGUGUGCAUGGCUAUAGAGCCAUGACAGAAAAAAAAUUGACAAUAAGCUGCUUCUGUAGUUAUUUAGCGAAAGAGUGAUAACUUUAUUCCUAUGUGUCAACAGCAUAUAAGGAUUGUUAUACCAAUUUAAGGAAACACAUAAUUGUUAUUAGCUCAGAUGGAAAAGGAGACAAUUUUUUCACAUGGCGCAACUACUUGCUAGAGUAUUUAGAGGACGAGUGUGCAAGGAAGGGGGAAGAUAUUUCCCAUACAGUUGCACUACUUGCAUAUCAAACAUUUUGGGCUUGUUGUGUAUCAAGAAGGUGAAAUGGAAACAAAGUGAAAACAAACACGGUGGUUGGCAUAUCUUUGAUGACCCUGAAUAUCGUCCACGACCAUGUUUGCUGUGAAAGACAAGAACAUGCCAUGUGUUUUCCUUUGGAUGAGAGUAAUUAACCUUGUGUCCUUCUCCGAGUAGAGUCGAGUAUGCAUCCUCCACUGCACCAGAAUCAAGAUUGAUGUACUCCUUUGGGUGACAGCCAAGAACAUAUGGCUAGUGAGCUUUUAUAGGCGAGGGCAAAUAAAAAAAAUAAUGCAUUCCUUGUACGAGUGGUUUGUAUAAAAAUGGUAGUGGAACGUUAAUGUUUAAUUUGCAUUUUUACUGCAAAAGCUAAUAUGUCUCUCCCUUCAUUCCCCCAACCAAAAAAAAAAACUUUAAAAAUAGAAAUCACAAAAUAUCCGAAUCAACAUUUUGCUGAUGUAGUUACAUAAAUAUAAAUGCACUGACCAAGUGUUUUGUUCAGCUUCAGAAUAUG
This 1765-nucleotide long non-coding RNA is filed under the name Pomacea canaliculata. RNAcentral describes it as "uncharacterized LOC112573815". The record is from RNAcentral. Lineage: Eukaryota; Metazoa; Mollusca; Gastropoda; Architaenioglossa; Ampullariidae.